This 962-nucleotide ribosomal RNA is filed under the name Agelena labyrinthica. Its description in RNAcentral is "SSU rRNA". It matches the Rfam family "Eukaryotic small subunit ribosomal RNA", at positions 1 to 950 of the family's 1831-position model. Lineage: Eukaryota; Metazoa; Arthropoda; Arachnida; Araneae; Agelenidae. The record is from RNAcentral.
UUUUUUCCCGUGGGUUUUUGAUGCAGUAGUCAUAUGCUGUGUCCGGGGUCUUAGAUUAGGCCAUGCAUGUCUAAGUACAUGCCGUAUUAAGGCGAAACCGCGAAUGGCUCAUUAAAUCAGUCAUGGUUCCUUGGAUCGUACCUUACUACUUGGAUAACUGUGGCAAUUCUAGAGCUAAUACAUGCAGCAGAGCUCCGACCUUCGGGGACGAGCGCUUUUAUUAGACCAAAACCAAUCGGACCUCGUGUCCGUCUCUUGUGGUGACUCUGUAUAACUUUGGGCUGAUCGCACGGGCCUGUCCCGGCGACGUAUCUUUCAAGUGUCUGCCUUAUCAACUUUCGAUGGUAGGUUACGCGCCUACCAUGGUCGUAACGGGUAACGGGGAAUCAGGGUUCGAUUCCGGAGAGGGAGCCUGAGAAACGGCUACCACAUCCAAGGAAGGCAGCAGGCGCGCAAAUUACCCACUCCCAGAACGGGGAGGUAGUGACGAAAAAUAACAAUACGGGACUCUUUUGAGACCCCGUAAUUGGAAUGAGUACACUCUAAAUCCUUUAACGAGGAUCCAUUGGAGGGUAAGUCUGGUGCCAGCAACCGCGGUAAUUCCAGCUCCAAUAGCGUAUAUUAAAGUUGUUGCGGUUAAAAAGCUCGUAGUUGGAUCUCAGUUCCAGACGGGUGGUCCUCCUACCGGUGGUUACUGCCUGUUCUGAACAGUCAGCCGGUUUCUCUUGAUGAUCUUCACCGGUUGUCUUGGGUGACCGGCAAGUUUACUUUGAAAAAAUUAGAGUGCUCAAAGCAGGCGUGACGCCUGAAUAAUGGUGCAUGGAAUAAUGGAAUAGGACCUCGGUUCUAUUUUGUUGGUUUUCGGAACACGAGGUAAUGAUUAAGAGGGACAGACGGGGGCAUUCGUAUUGCGACGCUAGAGGUGAAAUUCUUGGACCGUCGCAAGACGAACUACUGCGAGA